GUGCUCACUUUGGCAGCACAUCUACUAAAAUAGGAACUAUACAGAAAAGAUUAGCCUGGUCCCUGGCGCAAGAAUGACACCCGAAUUUGUGAAGUGUUUCAUAGUUUU
This is a small nuclear RNA of Sciurus vulgaris (Eurasian red squirrel), 108 nucleotides long. Lineage: Eukaryota; Metazoa; Chordata; Mammalia; Rodentia; Sciuridae. The record is from Ensembl.